RNAcentral lists this ribosomal RNA (504 nucleotides) under uncultured bacterium. RNAcentral describes it as "partial 16S ribosomal RNA". It matches the Rfam family "Bacterial small subunit ribosomal RNA", at positions 28 to 507 of the family's 1533-position model. The record is from RNAcentral.
GACGAACGCUGGCGGCGUGCUUAACACAUGCAAGUCGAACGGUGAAGCGCUUGCCUUUUUGGUGGGUGUGGAUGAGUGGCGAACGGGUGAGUAACACGUGAGUAACCUGCCCUCUUCUUCUGGAUAACCUCAUGAAAGUGGGGCUAAUACGGGGUAUUCCGGGUCUGUCGCAUGGCGGGUUUGGGAAAGAUUGCGCCUUUGGGUGUUUUCGGUGGGGGAUGGGCUCGCGGCCUAUCAGCUUGUUGGUGGGGUGAUGGCCUACCAAGGCGGUGACGGGUAGCCGGCCUGAGAGGGUGGACGGCCACACUGGGACUGAGACACGGCCCAGACUCCUGCGGGAGGCAGCAGUGGGGAAUAUUGCACAAUGGGCGCAAGCCUGAUGCAGCGACGCCGCGUGAGGGAUGGAGGCCUUCGGGUUGUGAACCUCUUUCGCCAGUGAAGCAGGCCUGCUCCUGUGUGGGUGGGUUGACGAUAGCUGGAUAAGAAGCGCCGGCUAACUACGUG